AGUGAACGCUGGCGGCAUGCCUAACACAUGCAAGUCGAACGGCAGCACAAUAAGCUCUCUCCCUUACGGUUGGCGAGUGGCGGACGAGUGAGGAAUACAUCGGAAUCUACUUAUACGGGGGUGACAACGUAGGGCAACUUACGCUACUAGCGCAUAUGACCUACGGGUGAAAGCAAUGGUGCUUCACAGCUUUCCUGUCAGAUAUAGACGAUUUCGCAUUAGCUAGUUGGCAUGCUAAGGGCACACCAAGGCGACGAUCCGUAGCUGGUCUGAGAGGAUGAUCAGCCACACUGGAACUGAGACACGGUCCAGACUCCUACGGGAGGCAGCAGUGGGGAAUCUUGGACAAUGGGCGCAAGCCUGAUCCAGCCAUGCCGCGUGGGUGAAGAAGGCCUUCGGGUUGUAAAGCCCUUUUGUUAGGAAAGAAAAGCAGCAGGAUAAUCCCCGCCUGUUCUGACGGUACCCAAAGAGUAAGCACCGGCUAACUUCGUG
This 492-nucleotide ribosomal RNA is filed under the name uncultured bacterium. RNAcentral's name for it is "partial 16S ribosomal RNA". It matches the Rfam family "Bacterial small subunit ribosomal RNA", at positions 29 to 507 of the family's 1533-position model. The record is from RNAcentral.